RNA transcript from Parus major (Great Tit), 3430 nucleotides. It is a transcript of the gene named leucine zipper and CTNNBIP1 domain containing, with no coding region annotated. The record is from RefSeq and is a predicted model, not a curated record. The transcript is spliced from 9 exons. Lineage: Eukaryota; Metazoa; Chordata; Aves; Passeriformes; Paridae.
GCCCCGCAGGCCGCUUGGUGCUCCGCGCUAGCCCUGUCCGGAGAGAGGCCCGCGUUCCCUUGCCGCCCGCCGGCGGUGGCGCGGCCCCUCAGGGCGCUGUGAGGCCGGCACGGCCCGCUGGCUGCCGGAGCUGUGACCGGCCCCUCAGGGCGCUGUGAGGCCGGCACGGCCCGCUGGCUGCCGGAGCUGUGACCGGCCCGGGACGAUCCCCGGGGAGCGAGGAGCUCCUCUCGAGUGCUCUGGUUCUCUGCAGCCGCUGGUGCUGCCUCAGACACCUGCACCCGGGCUGGCUCCUGAACGGCGUCCAAGGGGCCGUUGAAGAGUCCUAUCUAUUGUUUCAUAUAGCGGGGCCUCUACUUCAGUAAUUGCUACUUGAUUUGACACUCGUUUGAUUUUACGUGCUGUGGCUGUUGGAGUUCCCUGAUGAACCGCCUCUUGCUAUGAAGAUAAUUCUGUACACCCAGCUUGGCAUUUCUGUAUUUACACUGCAAGGAUCUCCGGGUGUUGUGAUUAAACAUUCCAUCAGCAAGAUAUUGCAUAAUUUUAAUAUUUAGAGCAUUUAAAAUACGUUUUAAAUUGUUGAUACAUAUAAUAAAAUGUACUUUCUCUUAGGAGUGUCAUGUAAAAACAACAAUUUCAUGUGAAAACAGAAAAUGGCUUCAAGAGGAACAACAGAGACCAGUAAACUAAAACAAAACUUGGAGGAGCAGUUGGACAGAUUAAUGCAGCAACUUCAAGAUCUGGAAGAAUGCAGAGAGGAGCUGGAUGCAGAUGAGUAUGAAGAGACCAAAAAAGAAACUCUAGAGCAGCUGAGUGAGUUCAAUGACUCCCUGAAGAAGAUUAUGUCUGGAGAUAUGACUUUGGUGGAUGAGCUCAGUGGCAUGCAACUGGCAAUACAAGCAGCCAUCAGCCAAGCAUUUAAAACUCCAGAAGUGAUUAGAAUGUUUGCAAAGAAGCAGCCAAGACAAUUGAGGACAAGGCUGGCAGAGAUGGACAGAGACUUUAUGGUUGGGAAGUUGCCACGAGACCUGUACACCCAACAGAAACUGGAAAUCCUGACUGCCCUCAGAAAGCUUGGUGAGAAGCUCACUGGUGAUGAUGAGAUGUUCUUGUCAACAAAUGCUGGUACAGCCCUGAGCCAGUUUGAGAGAGUCUCCACUGACCUUGGGCAAUUCCCUCAUACAUUUUUUCAGCUCCCAUCACUGAUCAGGACUGAACACGUGGAUUAUCUGAUCUCCUGUGGUUUCUAGAAGCAGGAAAUCCAGGAGCUGGCAGGAGGGGAAUGAACCGUGAGGGCGUCCCCGGGAAGAGUCCGGAGGAGAUGUACAUCCAGCAGAAAGUGAGAGUCCUGCUCAUGCUCAGGAAGAUGGGAUCAAACCUGACGGCCAGCGAGGAGGAGUUCCUGCGCACGUACGCGGGAGUGGUGAACAGCCAGCUGAGCCAGCUGCCCCAGCACUCCAUCGACCAGGGUGCUGAGGAUGUUGUGAUGGCAUUUUCCAGAUCAGAGACAGAAGACAGAAGACAGUAACCACAGGACACGUGAACAACACCGAACUGGGGAGGACAGUGAGAUUCCUGAAGAUAGAGGAGGAUGGCUGAGCAUUAAUAAGUUCCUCUGCCCACCCUAAUUGUUCCUUGGUGUUCCUUCUCCUCUGUAAUGUUGUUUCCCUUUGCCCAACCCUCAGAAUGCAUCUCACAGCCGUCUAUUCCUGGCAGAUUUUGCAACUCAGCCGGGCUGUGUUCAUUAAGGACAAACCUAAAGGUGUGGUUUUGGUUGGCUCAAAGGGACAGGCUGUGGUUGGAUAAAGGAAGGCAAUUUUUCAAACUUGACCAAUGGAAACCUUUUAUCUGACAUUUUAUUUUAUAUUUUAAACAAAGUCUCUUGACAUCCUACUUUUAAAGAAGCUUUUCAUGCUGUGGUGCUUAUUUAGGUCAAACUUGUGAAUUUGAAGAGGGUUUGAUUUGGCUGCAUAGAACUGGAAGCAACUUGUGAUUGGGUGACAAUGCAAAAGCUUUCCCUUCAGUUGGAUUGCAGGUAUUUUGCUGACUCCAACAUUUUCGUUGCUGGAAGCUGAUGUUUUUGGUGCAUUGUUUAUUUCUUUAUACUUAUUGACUUGGGGGGGAAAAGACAAAUGUGCUUUGCAAUAUUUAUUACAUCUACACACAUAUAACGCUUGCUUUUGGGGGGUUGUUUUGGUUUUUUGAUUGGCUUUGAAGUCAUGGUUUGAUUUCCUUUUGGCUGCAGUGUUUCUGAUGCAAUCAGUUUUUCCAUACUCAGCUGCUCUCUGGCCUCCAGCUCUUUUGGGAGCAUGUGUCAAAGCAGAUUUGGUUCAGGAGGUGCACCUGGCCAGGCUGGAGGCCAGAGCUGCCCAGCCCUGGUGGCCACUGGGGGCUGUGCCCAGCACUCCUGCCUGCCCUGGGGCUUCUCUUGGCUUCCCCCAGAGGAGCUGGAGAUGUUCUGCAGGAAUUGCAGGAAUGAGAUCUGAGGCUGCCACAUGAAUUUGCCAAAUUUGUAUAGAGAAUAUGUGAACUUGUUUAAAAUACUAGAGUUCCACUUUAACCCUUUGAUUGCUGCACAAGACUAGCUCUCACAUUAAGAACAAUUAACGAUCAUUAAAUUAAAUCCAGCUUGCACUGGGCUUUAAUAAACGGAAGUUUCUAGUCACUUGAAAAAUUGUACAUGGCUUCCCUCCUUGCAGCUGUUUGGUGAUAGGGAAAUUCCCUGGAUCCUGGGCUGACAGCAUGUUCUUGAGGCACUGUUCCAGGAGGCAGCAGUGCUGCAUUAGGCUGAGUGUGCAGUGACACUCCCAGGUUUGCUCUCUGUAGCUGCAGGGUCCUUACACAGACCUUUACAGACUGAAAAAGCUGCAGUGGAAUUCCCGAGGUGCACUGACUGUUCAGGAAUCUGCACAGUCUCCAGCACUGCUGCCUAAAACCAAGCACUUCAUUUUCUCUCACGUGUGCAGGUGCUUUUAACAAAACUUCUGGAUUUUGCUGUGGGUUGCACUGACUUCGAGAUGUUUCAGAAUCUAUUAAAGCUGAACCCAAUUUACCUGUUCCUUGUUCUUUUGCCAUGAUUGUUAAUUAUUUACAGUAACAAUUCUAGAGUCUAACUGUGAGAACAUGACCAUUUUCAUGGCCAGAAAUUCUGCUGACAGGAUGCUGUUGUGGUCUCAAAACGGGGGAAGAGCUGGAGAGAAACCAUGGACUGUCUGCAAAAGGAAGAAUAGACUUGUGAGCACAAGGAAGAAAUUACCUUGAGCAAAUAAAUACUGUGUAAUGAGAGCAACUGUACAUCUAUUUAUGAAAAUGCUCCUUUGGAUUCAGUUGCAGCUCUGUAAAGUUCUAUGUGAAAGUAAAUCUUUUACCCCGUUUUGUUGGGGCCAGAUAAGUAAUUUCUUUAUUAAAAUAAACCAGGAAUGAGCCCAAA